GACGAACGCUGGCGGCGUGCUUAACACAUGCAAGUCGAACGGUGAAGCUCCAGCUUGCUGGAGUGGAUCAGUGGCGAACGGGUGAGUAACACGUGAGCAACCUGCCCCUGACUCUGGAAUAAGCGCUGGAAACGGCGUCUAAUACUGGAUACGAGAAGGGUCCGCAUGGGCACUUUCUGGAAAGUUUUUCGGUUGGGGAUGGGCUCGCGGCCUAUCAGCUUGUUGGUGAGGUAAUGGCUCACCAAGGCGACGACGGGUAGCCGGCCUGAGAGAGCGACCGGCCACACUGGGACUGAGACACGGCCCAGACUCCUACGGGAGGCAGCAGUGGGGAAUAUUGCACAAUGGGCGAAAGCCUGAUGCAGCGACGCCGCGUGAGGGAUGACGGCCUUCGGGUUGUAAACCUCUUUCAGCAGGGAAGAAGCGAAAGUGACGGUACCUGCAGAAGAAGCACCGGCUAACUACGUG
RNAcentral lists this ribosomal RNA (468 nucleotides) under uncultured bacterium. RNAcentral's name for it is "partial 16S ribosomal RNA". It matches the Rfam family "Bacterial small subunit ribosomal RNA", at positions 28 to 507 of the family's 1533-position model. The record is from RNAcentral.